Molecule: long non-coding RNA, 1991 nt
Filed under: Marmota monax (woodchuck)
Lineage: Eukaryota; Metazoa; Chordata; Mammalia; Rodentia; Sciuridae
Source: RNAcentral
AUGAAUUUCGAGGCAAGACAAAUAGACCAUAGCAUUUUAAGCUAUUAAAUUUAGGAGUUGUUUGUUUCACAGCAGUAAAUAAUGAGGGAUGGAUGGGAAGAUGGCAGAGUAGAGGAAAGCUGCAUUCCAAGUCAUGCCAUGGCCUGAGACCAAAGCAACAGUUGUACAGCUUCUCAGCAAGAAGUGUAAAAGAGGGAUUUCACUAAAAUUCAAAAUUGGACAUUCAAAGUGGCUUAGGGACUCAAAUUUGGGUACAAUAAACAAAGAAGAAAGAAUAUAUUGGAGGUUACCCAGCUGCCACACCAUCACGGAAAGUGAAGGUGAUUGGCACUGAUUCACCACAAAGGAUGAUUCACACCCAUGUUGGGGCAGGCCCAAAAUGUCUAGUUAGACGCCUUCCUGAGGCUUCCAGUGGCCUAUGUUAUGUUUUUAGUGUGUAACCAAGGGCAUGAAUUGGCUAUGCUAUGGUCAGUGUGUAUCUUCUUCCAGCUGAAGUGGUUCUGGAGUCUGAGCAGGCAGGAGUGAAUACCUCGGGGACUAAGCUCAGGAAGAUUGUGCUCUUGGGAGCAGUUAGUGGAAGAUUGGCACCCCUUGCCCCUCCACUGAAAUUCUUGGGAGGCUCCUGUGAUCCAAACCGGAAUCAACUAUUGUUAAGCCCUAGGGGUGGGCUGACCUAAUCUCUCAGAAGCAGGUAUCACCAACAAAGCCCUUGAGGUCUGAUUAGGCCUAAGCCCCACCUUCUGGAACUCCCCUCAGAACUGUGCAUAAGCUUUACCCUGGGAGUACACUAAAGUGGUCUGAACAGACAGAACUCCAACUUCCUAAUACGUCACACCUUAUACUAGUGAGAAGGGAAGCUGAAUUUUAAACAACUUCAGUCUUAGGCCGCUCCAACUGGCACAUCAGACAGCAACACAAAAACAAGAAAGGAUUAAACCCUCACCCCUUGCUCUCUCAGUACAAAACUCAAGGAGAACUGGAAAAAAGGACUAUUGAACGUAGACAGUGACCACCCAAUCUGGUCGACUAUUUUUACCAUCUCUGUGGAGAUGGUUCCUUCGUUCUUCAUUAAGAAUUUGUGUGUGUGUGUGUGUGUGUGUGAAUUCUUGCUGUGUUAAUUGGUUCAGGGACAUAUACACAUACACUUUUUACUUUUCUCUCAUUUUUAGCAUUUUUAAUGUAGUUUAUUUUUCUUGUCUUUGUCUUUUGAGGGUUUGGGGUUUAUUUUUCUUGUCUUUGUCUUUUGAGGGUUUGGGGUUUAGGGAUUGUAUAUUUUUGUUUAUUUGUUUGUUUGGGGGGGGUGGGUACCAGGGAUUGAACUCAAGGGCACUCAACCACUGAGCCACAUCCCCACAUUCAUAGCCCUAUUUUGUAUUUUAUUAGACACAAAGUCUCACUGAGUUGCCUAGUGCCUCGCUAAGUUGCUGAGGCUGGCUUUGAACUUGCAAUCCUGCCUCUACCUCCUGAGCUGCUGGGAUUAUAGGAGUGUGCCACCACACCCAGCCUUUGUUUGGUUUUGUAUAAUUUUCAUUUAUUUAUUUCUCUUGUCUUUCUCUCUUUUGCUAGUGGCCUAAUUCUGUUCUCUCUCCCUCUGUCCCAAUACUUCUAUUUUUCCCCUCCUUUCGUGUAAAAAUCACCUGCUACAUCUCUUCUGCAUUCUCUUUGUUUAUUUUUUGAAAUUGUAAACUCUUUUCUACCUUCCUAACACAUUUUCCCCUAAUGAACAAUUUUUACACCUGUGAGAACUAAUUGGCUUAUAUAACUCUUGCCCCCACCAUUAAUGCUGAUACAGUCAUUACUGCUUUGGAGGAUAAAACUGAUACUUGCUGUUUGCUUUAAAGCCAAAUCUAGUUCAUGGUUACUGUUUUUACUGUUUAAAAUUGCUGAAUCCACUGUACCUGGGUUUUGGUGGUAAUUAUGUUGAAGAUGUUGUAGUAGGAACUGGGCAUUUACUUUAAUGCUGUGUAUUUUUUGCAACAGUUAUUAAAAUU